Molecule: ribosomal RNA, 253 nt
Filed under: uncultured bacterium
Lineage: Bacteria
Description: partial 16S ribosomal RNA
Rfam family: Bacterial small subunit ribosomal RNA
Source: RNAcentral
UACGUAGGGGGCAAGCGUUGUCCGGAUUUAUUGGGCGCAAAGAGCGUGUAGGCGGCCAUACAGGUCCGUUGUGAAAACUGGAGGCUCAACCUCCAGACGUCGACGGAAACCGUAUGGCUAGAGUCAGGAAGAGGAGAGUGGAAUUCCUGGUGUAGCGGUGAAAUGCGCAGAUAUCAGGAAGAACACCAAUGGCGAAGGCAGCUCUCUGGGACGGUACUGACGCUGAGACGCGAAAGCGUGGGGAGCGAACAGG